CAGUCGCCGCGGGAAUACGUAGGGUGCAAGCGUUAAUCGGAAUUACUGGGCGUAAAGCGUGCGCAGGCGGUUCGUUAAGACAGAUGUGAAAUCCCCGGGCUUAACCUGGGAACUGCAUUUGUGACUGGCGAGCUAGAGUAUGGCAGAGGGGGGUAGAAUUCCACGUGUAGCAGUGAAAUGCGUAGAGAUGUGGAGGAAUACCGAUGGCGAAGGCAGCCCCCUGGGCCAAUACUGACGCUCAUGCACGAAAGCGUGGGGAGCAAACAGGAUUAGAUACCCGGGUAGUCCCUGUCUCUUAUAC
RNAcentral lists this ribosomal RNA (301 nucleotides) under uncultured bacterium. RNAcentral's name for it is "partial 16S ribosomal RNA". It matches the Rfam family "Bacterial small subunit ribosomal RNA", at positions 509 to 807 of the family's 1533-position model. The record is from RNAcentral.